GUCAUUUUUCAAAAGGAAUUCUUGAAAACAGAUUUUUUGAACAAUAUAGAAAUGUUUAAAAACUUGCUUUUCAGUUUCCCCAUGAAAUACAGAACAAGACAAACCAUGGCCAUCAAAAAAAGAAAAAAACAACCUGCCCAGCAUAAUGACUGUUAAGGGAACAAAAGAAAAAAAGAAAAAAUUAAACAUUCUCAUCAUGGAAAGGAAGAAGCAAAGGGGAGAGGGGGAAAGAUGUAAAAAGGAUGUGAAAGAAAACACUCCUAGGAAGUAAGAUUAGGCACUGGGAGUUGUUUCUACCCUCACUUGGCUGCUUUCACUGGAUAGGGAAUUAUUUAUCAUACUGACAUCUUGAUGUUCUGUGACCAAGAGUUUUGAAGUGGGA
This 382-nucleotide long non-coding RNA is filed under the name Phasianus colchicus (ring-necked pheasant). Its description in RNAcentral is "lncRNA (ENSPCLG00000014712.1)". The record is from RNAcentral. Lineage: Eukaryota; Metazoa; Chordata; Aves; Galliformes; Phasianidae.